RNAcentral lists this small RNA (934 nucleotides) under Pongo abelii (Sumatran orangutan). RNAcentral describes it as "processed transcript". The record is from RNAcentral. Lineage: Eukaryota; Metazoa; Chordata; Mammalia; Primates; Hominidae.
CUUUUGGGGUCAUUUGCUUUUUGGGGAACAUCAUUGUGGAACAUUGAACUCCAUGGGCCCCUUGUUCGCGUGAGGAUUUCCUCACCUGCCUUCCAGCCCUGAUUCUUCUCGAUUAUGGGUCAGGCUGGGGGACCCUGGGGUCGAGAGAACUUUAACGAGUGGGUGCCUCUUUACCCCAGGGCAGUGCCAAGGAGCUGUCCCCUGCCGCCCUGGAGAAAAGGCGUCGGAGAAAGCAGGAACGGGACCGGAAGAAGAGGAAGCGAAAGGAGCUGCGGGCGAAAGAGAAGGCCAGGAAGGCUGAGGAGGCCGCGGAGGCCCAGGAGGUGGUGGAGCCAACCCCAGAGGGGGCCUGCACGGAGCCGCGGGAGCCGCCUGGGCUGAUCUUCAAUAAGGUGGAGGUGAGCGAAGACGAGCCGGCCAGCAAGGCGCAGCGCAGAAAAGAGAAGAGGCAGAGGGUGAAGGGGAACCUCACGCCACUGACCGGAAGGAACUACCGGCAGCUGCUGGAGCGCCUGCAGGCACGGCAGAGCCGGCUGGACGAGCUGCGCGGCCAGGAUGAGGGGAAGGCGCAGGAGCUGGAGGCGAAGAUGAAGUGGACCAACCUCCUCUACAAGGCGGAGGGCGUGAAGAUCCGCGACGACGAACACCUGCUGCAGGAGGCCCUGAAGCGCAAGGAGAAGCGCAGGGCGCAGCGGCAGCGCCGGUGGGAGAAGCGCACGGCCGGCGUGGUGGAGAAGAUGCAGCAGCGCCAGGACCGGCGGCGGCAGAACCUGCGCAGGAAGAAAGCGGCCCGCGCGGAGCGCCGCCUGCUCAGAGCCCGCAAGAAGGGCCGCAUCCUGCCGCAGGACCUGGAGCGCGCAGGCCUGGUCUGAGUCUUUCCCACCUGGGGCCGCCGUCUUCGUCCUAGGAGACUCCAGGGCACUCUCUGAGUCCU